GACGAACGCUGGCGGCGUGCCUAAUACAUGCAAGUAGAACGCUGAAGAGAGGAGCUUGCUCUUCUUGGAUGAGUUGCGAACGGGUGAGUAACGCGUAGGUAACCUGCCUUGUAGCGGGGGAUAACUAUUGGAAACGAUAGCUAAUACCGCAUAACAAUGGAUGACACAUGUCAUUUAUUUGAAAGGGGCAAUUGCUCCACUACAAGAUGGACCUGCGUUGUAUUAGCUAGUAGGUGAGGUAAUGGCUCACCUAGGCGACGAUACAUAGCCGACCUGAGAGGGUGAUCGGCCACACUGGGACUGAGACACGGCCCAGACUCCUACGGGAGGCAGCAGUAGGGAAUCUUCGGCAAUGGGGGCAACCCUGACCGAGCAACGCCGCGUGAGUGAAGAAGGUUUUCGGAUCGUAAAGCUCUGUUGUAAGUCAAGAACGGGUGUGAGAGUGGAAAGUUCACACUGUGACGGUAGCUUACCAGAAAGGGACGGCUAACUACGUGCCAGCAGCCGCGGUAAUACAUAGGUCCCGAGCGUUGUCCGGAUUUAUUGGGCGUAAAGCGAGCGCAGGCGGUUUGAUAAGUCUGAAGUUAAAGGCUGUGGCUCAACCAUAGUUCGCUUUGGAAACUGUCAAACUUGAGUGCAGAAGGGGAGAGUGGAAUUCCAUGUGUAGCGGUGAAAUGCGUAGAUAUAUGGAGGAACACCGGUGGCGAAAGCGGCUCUCUGGUCUGUAACUGACGCUGAGGCUCGAAAGCGUGGGGAGCGAACAGGAUUAGAUACCCUGGUAGUCCACGCCGUAAACGAUGAGUGCUAGGUGUUGGAUCCUUUCCGGGAUUCAGUGCCGCAGCUAACGCAUUAAGCACCCCGCCUGGGGAGUACGACCGCAAGGUUGAAACUCAAAGGAAUUGACGGGGGCCCGCACAAGCGGUGGAGCAUGUGGUUUAAUUCGAAGCAACGCGAAGAACCUUACCAGGUCUUGACAUCCCGAUGCUAUUUCUAGAGAUAGAAAGUUACUUCGGUACAUCGGUGACAGGUGGUGCAUGGUUGUCGUCAGCUCGUGUCGUGAGAUGUUGGGUUAAGUCCCGCAACGAGCGCAACCCCUAUUGUUAGUUGCCAUCAUUCAGUUGGGCACUCUAGCGAGACUGCCGGUAAUAAACCGGAGGAAGGUGGGGAUGACGUCAAAUCAUCAUGCCCCUUAUGACCUGGGCUACACACGUGCUACAAUGGUUGGUACAACGAGUUGCGAGUCGGUGACGGCGAGCUAAUCUCUUAAAGCCAAUCUCAGUUCAGAUUGUAGGCUGCAACUCGCCUACAUGAAGUCGGAAUCGCUAGUAAUCGCGGAUCAGCACGCCGCGGUGAAUACGUUCCCGGGCCU
Molecule: ribosomal RNA, 1369 nt
Filed under: uncultured bacterium
Lineage: Bacteria
Description: bacterial SSU rRNA
Rfam family: Bacterial small subunit ribosomal RNA
Source: RNAcentral